Long non-coding RNA from Topomyia yanbarensis, 2913 nucleotides. RefSeq lists it as uncharacterized. NCBI's taxonomy places the organism in Eukaryota, Metazoa, Arthropoda, Insecta, Diptera, Culicidae. The transcript has 2 exons. The record is from RefSeq and is a predicted model, not a curated record.
AUCAAAUAAUGGCACUUUUCUCAGAGAUGGUUGGACCGAUUUAAACAAUGUUAUACUCAAAUGAAAGGUGCAACAUAGCCAUAGGCUGCUAUUGAAUUUUAUUUGGAUCUGGUUCUGGAGUUAUGAGUUGGAAAGUGCGAUCGCACAUGAAAUUAUCUAAACCUUUGUGCUUUUUGCAUAUAAAGAAAUACUAUGCAAUCACUCCACAAAUCAACUUUUCAACUGAGACUCGGGGGCCGAAUGUCAUGAUCCAUUCGAUUCAGUUCGUCGAGAUCGGUCAAUGUCUGUGUGUGCAUGUGUGCACAUCUAGGGGGAAGUGGCCCAAUUCGGACCGCUGGCCAAUUCGGACCACCAGCUGUUUCUCAGCUAUGGUAAUAUUAUGAAAAGCGUAUAUAUCAUUGUCAUGGCUGUCAUGUAGCUCUGUUUUAUAUCACAAAAUUUUGCGGUUCUCAGUUUUCGUAUGCGUGCGCUGGGGGCGAAUGUUGUUUUGGAGCGCUUUUUUGAAAAAUGUGUAAGCCAAAAAACACAAUUUUCGUUGGCAACAACAAUAUAUCAAGUCAAAUGCAUUAUCGUGAUUUUGGAUCUACUGGAUAAUAUCUUUUAUUUAAUAUCUUGUUUUGGGCGAGACUAUCAACUGUUUUCGUUUAAUUGGUGUGUGAAUAAUAGAAUAUGGGAUAAGCUUGUCAAAUUCCAGCAAAAAUCCGCAUUGCCGUCAACGGGGGUACGAAUCGAUGGGUUGACUUUCUUAAGGAAAAUAUUGGCACAGAAGAACAGUUCGGUGACGGGGAAUUUCGAUUCCUGCACCGAUUAAUCUAUGACUUAAGGAAAGCGGUUGAAUUGCAAGAUAAUCAAAACACCCAAAUGCUACAGAUUUUACAAAAUCUCUCAAAGCGAUUUAGAGCACCAGUUACGAUAGCGAAAUAAGUCGAAUUCUGGUGUUGUGUGAAAGUUCUGGCCGGUUGUACCAAAUCAUGGCCAACAUUAAUACUUUGUUCCUGGCCCGUGACAUUCUACCGAAUGCAUUUGUAUUCUUGCGAUCCAGUAACUCUCAGUUGGCUGCUACCGGCGGGAACCCACUUAAUUCAAAUUUCCCCUCGGUUGGUACACGAACGUAUCUGGUGUUCGCUUGUUCCUAUUGGACAACGGGCCGUAUGUAGCACUAGUGGAUUGCACUGGAACCUCGACAACCGGGCUGUUUGGUAAGCACUUCGAACACUUACUCUAGCCAGGAAGUUCAAAUUCAAUCAGAGAGUGCCGUACUUUGGUUAAUGGGAACGACCCCGAAGGAUAUGUGAUAAGAGUAUUGCCUGCAACUGAAAAUACGCGUUCAUGUCAACGGGCUUUUAGGUGCCUAAUAAAAUUCCCUCAUCUCUCUGUAUGUUGCUUUAUUAGAUAUAAUACAAAUAUAUUGAUAUAGAAAAACAAUAUUUUAUUUUCUUAAUGUAAAAGUGUCAAUUUCUAGCUUUUUAGUAAUACUGUUCAGAGAAAUCGACCUCCGACAAUUAAUCGGCGAUCGUCUUCACAUCUAGACAUGUAAAAUGAUUUAAUUUUCGCGGGAAACCGGCACAGCAUUAUUGGUUCGUUUAUUUGCUCCGUCAUUUUUCGUUCCGGACCCUCCGGAAUAUCAUCGCCAAACUCAUAAAAAGUUUCAAUACUCGAUCGACAACAUCUACUAUCAAAUCUUCCAGCCGAUCAAGUAGCUCUUUGAAAGUAAUAAAGGGACAUUCACCCUCAAUAUAACUGUAUUCUGCUAAAUCACGGCGAGCAAGACUCUGCUCUGCACGGUAACUUUGAGAAAUGCAAUAGUCGCCCAAUGCCGGCAAACAGGUUUCCAUAUAUUUUUGUGAGCUUUGCGUCAGGAAUGCUUCCGCCCUAAAAUGUAUUUAUUGUUUGAGCAAAUACUUUUAAUGCGAACAUUUUUUAUUUACCUAAAAUAGUCCAGUUUGAACAGAGUCGACCCUCCUUCAACUUGUGUUUGCACCAGCGUCGGCGGCGUUACGCCGUUCAUGAUAAUGCUCCCUAAAUGCCAUCAUAAUGACAUCUCUCAUCUUGAGAAUCUUAGAAGUAUUUUCGCCUCUAAUCAUAAUGUGUCUGUUAUCGAGCUAGACAUCAGGAUGAGCAUCCUCGUUCAAAAUAGAAUCUGCCCCACCGGCCGGAGCUAAUCCAAUUAGCUACCAAUAAUCAACGUGCAGCUCAUGUCCACCGGGAGCGGACUUACCUUCUGGAAUUUCUGACACAAGGUAUCGCUGAGAACGCUUUUCAAGAAUUUUCUUGAGCUGAGAUUUGGCUACUAGUUCGUAGGGUGAUUCCGAUUUUGCAUCCUUAGCGUUUACAUAAAUUCUUGGGAAAGGUUCCUUGCCGGCGUGCUUCAUGGCUUGUAGGAUUGUUUUGAAGGGUUUUUCCGCUGUUCCAUCACCGAACUCGUCAUCGCCACGCUUUUCCAAGGUGUAGAGAUCGUCUGGAGGUGGUGAGAAAAAUUGGAUCAAUAUUCAAUUAUUAUUAUCCAUCACCGUUGGUUGAAUUUCAGCGGCCGUUCACUUUCCGGCAAGUGUAAUGGAUAAGAGUACUUACUGGCAACGUUUGUUGAGUGCCGAACAGGGGAUUGAUUUCCGUUUCAUCCUUGUUACUACGAGUAGGUUAUGCUUCUUUUACCAUCUCAGCAUAGAUAUCAGUUUCGGCUGCCAACGUCGGCUGGUAAUCUAACGAGAAGAGAUUAUAUUAAAUUCAAAAAAAUUUAUCUUAAAGAAAGAAACCACCCAACUUACCACUAAGAAUUGAAACUUUUCAUAGUUAGCGUCAUACUGUUGAACUUCGCUGUCCAAGCAUUCCUGACAUUCUUCCGGGUGUUGCAUGUGCAUCUACGCCCCCCGGAACGAACGGUCGGGGUGAAACGGAUAGUAGAUUCUUCGUAUA